UGGGGAAUAUUGCACAAUUGGCGCAAGCCUGAUGCAGCCAUGCCGCGUGUAUGAAGAAGGCCUUCGGGUUGUAAAGUACUUUCAGCGGGGAGGAAGGGAGUAAAGUUAAUACCUUUGCUCAUUGACGUUACCCGCAGAAGAAGCACCGGCUAACUCCGUGCCAGCAGCCGCGGUAAUACGGAGGGUGCAAGCGUUAAUCGGAAUUACUGGGCGUAAAGCGCACGCAGGCGGUUUGUUAAGUCAGAUGUGAAAUCCCCGGGCUCAACCUGGGAACUGCAUCUGAUACUGGCAAGCUUGAGUCUCGUAGAGGGGGGUAGAAUUCCAGGUGGAGCGGUGAAAUGCGUAGAGAUCUGGAGGAAUACCGGUGGCGAAGGCGGCCCCCUGGACGAAGACUGACGCUCAGGUGCGAAAGCGUGGGGAGCAAACAGG
RNAcentral lists this ribosomal RNA (429 nucleotides) under Chloroflexota bacterium. RNAcentral's name for it is "Chloroflexi bacterium partial 16S ribosomal RNA". It matches the Rfam family "Bacterial small subunit ribosomal RNA", at positions 355 to 776 of the family's 1533-position model. Lineage: Bacteria; Bacillati; Chloroflexota. The record is from RNAcentral.